This 497-nucleotide ribosomal RNA is filed under the name uncultured bacterium. RNAcentral's name for it is "partial 16S ribosomal RNA". It matches the Rfam family "Bacterial small subunit ribosomal RNA", at positions 28 to 507 of the family's 1533-position model. The record is from RNAcentral.
GAUGAACGCUGGCGGCGUGCCUAAUACAUGCAAGUCGAGCGAACAGACGAGGAGCUUGCUCCUCUGACGUUAGCGGCGGACGGGUGAGUAACACGUGGAUAACCUACCUAUAAGACUGGGAUAACUUCGGGAAACCGGAGCUAAUACCGGAUAACAUGUUGAACCGCAUGGUUCAACAGUGAAAGACGGUCUUGCUGUCACUUAUAGAUGGAUCCGCGCCGCAUUAGCUAGUUGGUAAGGUAACGGCUUACCAAGGCAACGAUGUGUAGCCGACCUGAGAGGGUGAUCGGCCACACUGGAACUGAGACACGGUCCAGACUCCUACGGGAGGCAGCAGUAGGGAAUCUUCCGCAAUGGGCGAAAGCCUGACGGAGCAACGCCGCGUGAGUGAAGAAGGUCUUCGGAUCGUAAAACUCUGUUAUUAGGGAAGAACAAAUGUGUAAGUAACUAUGCACGUCUUGACGGUACCUAAUCAGAAAGCCACGGCUAACUACGUG